CUGAAAGAGCGUAUGAAGUUUUAAACUGGACAGUGUUUUAGGAAGGCAUGAUUACGGUUGGACACAAGAGAACCUCUUCAGGUCCCAUAUACCUGGGAGCUCUGUGACAGCUUGUUAAUACUGAGGGUCAGAUGGUUGCCAGGGAUGUUUGCUUGCUGUCCUGAUCUCUAAGGAAGAGUGCUAUCAUUUGGGAAGACCACAUCAGGAAUGAGUAGACUACGUGGUGUGCAUUGCUAGGUGAACCAAAUUAGAGUAGCAGCUGGGAAGAGUGGGCUGGAGAUGUUGGCAGACUGUGGCAAAAGUGACUUACCAACCGAGUGGUUGGCAUGCCCAGGAGGACAUGGUGUCUAGAGAGAAGACAUCUUUGCAGAUACACCUGUGUUCUGCAUGUGUGCUAAGAUUAGCUGUUUGAGGAGCAGUGAAUAGACUCCUGGAGUGAGUGAAUUCAGUGUGUUAAGCUCCAUGGCUACAGGCAACACUGAUCACACUGCACAGCAGUGGUUUCAUCUUUCACAGGAUCUAAUCUGACUCAAAACUUGUGACAAACUGUUCAGUAAGGGGCAGGGCAACCUCUUAAUCAGCAUUAGCAGUGGUGCAACAUUGAACAGCAAUUACUUGAAGAAUUUCUUUAUGAGCACUGGCAGAGUCUUUACACUGCACACCACUGCUGACCCGAGAAAUGACCCACAGGAACUACUGGCAAAAGGAGCAAAAAGGAACGUCAUUUGUUGAGGCUACAAGUGAAAAUUCUUUUCCUUCCUUAGCUGCCCUCAGCUGAUCCAUUGGGAUCUUCUGAAGAUUAAAUCAGAAGUGAUGUCAAACUUCACCAAGCUGACA
This 837-nucleotide long non-coding RNA is filed under the name Numida meleagris (helmeted guineafowl). Its description in RNAcentral is "lncRNA (ENSNMEG00000004562.1)". The record is from RNAcentral. Lineage: Eukaryota; Metazoa; Chordata; Aves; Galliformes; Numididae.